Molecule: ribosomal RNA, 542 nt
Filed under: Ischnura asiatica
Lineage: Eukaryota; Metazoa; Arthropoda; Insecta; Odonata; Coenagrionidae
Description: partial 12S ribosomal RNA
Source: RNAcentral
UACGAUUGAGUCAAAAGAUUAUUAUUGGUUGGUAGUAAUUACUUUAUUUUUUAUUAUCUUUUAAAAUUUUAGGUUAAAUUUAUAUUUUAUUUUAUAAUAUCUAUUUAAAAUUCUAUGAAAUUUAGAUUAUAAACAAGGAUUAGAUACCCUUUUAUACUAAACGUUAAUAUUACACCUGGGUAGUAACAGUUAAGUUCUUGAAACCCAAAGAAUUUGGCGGUAUUUUAGUCUUUUCAGAGGAACCUGUUGUGUAAUCGAUAAUCCACGAUUUUAUUUACUUACACUUGUAAAUUCAGCUUUUAUACCUCCGUCAUAAGAAUAUUUUUUUAGAAUAAAUUUUCUUGAUUGUUAAAUACAUGAAUGUCAGGUCAAGGUGAAGCUUAUGUGUAAGCACUAAUGGGUUACAAUAAAGUUAUUUAUACGGAUUUUUUAAUUUAUAUUUAAAUUAAAGGUGGAUUUGUAAGUAAAGCUAAUUAAUUAGUUUGCUUGAUUUUAGCUCUAAAAUAUGCACACAUCGCCCGUCGCUCUCAUAAUAAAGUGAG